This 158-nucleotide ribosomal RNA is filed under the name uncultured archaeon. RNAcentral's name for it is "partial 16S ribosomal RNA". It matches the Rfam family "Archaeal small subunit ribosomal RNA", at positions 315 to 473 of the family's 1478-position model. The record is from RNAcentral.
UCCAGGCCCUACGGGGCGCAGCAGGCGCGAAACCUUCGCAAUGCCCGAAAGGGUGACGAGGCUACCCCCGAGUGCCGUCCGCUAAGGACGGCUUUUGUCGGGUCUAAAAGACCCGACGAAUAAGGGAGGGCGAAGUCUGGUGUCAGCCGCCGCGGUAA